AGGUCAUAAAUAGUAAUAAACCAACUCGUUGCUAUAUAAAGAACAUGGUAUGUUGAUCAAAAGUCAUCAGUCUUUUACAAGAAAGCUUCACUCACCAAUCCAACAUGCAGUUUGUUUUUAUUCUUCUCGCAUCCGUUGUCGUCACCGCCGUUUCAGCUCAAUCUUACGAAUAUAAACCCAGUUAUCCUGCAGCUGGUUACAAGGACGAUUACUAUUCGGCUCCGGCUAAAUACAAUUUUGGAUAUACGGUAAAGGACGAUUAUUCUUACGUCGACUUUGGCCACAACGAAAACC
Long non-coding RNA from Daphnia pulicaria, 294 nucleotides. RefSeq lists it as uncharacterized. Lineage: Eukaryota; Metazoa; Arthropoda; Branchiopoda; Diplostraca; Daphniidae. The record is from RefSeq and is a predicted model, not a curated record. The transcript has 3 exons.